This 5439-nucleotide long non-coding RNA is filed under the name Homo sapiens (human). RNAcentral describes it as "non-protein coding lnc-CCT4-1:5". The record is from RNAcentral. Lineage: Eukaryota; Metazoa; Chordata; Mammalia; Primates; Hominidae.
CCGCUCUCCCCACCCGGUACCAGGACCCACCCGGGCCCGCGCUCCCUGCGGCUUCCAGGGACCCUCCAGCCCCCACGCACCCUCCUGCAAAGCCGAGGGUUAAGCUGGGGAAAGGGGGCCUCUAGGAAGGCGACCCCCCUGGAAAUGCCUGGCAGCUCCAAAAACACUAAUGAAACUCAGCUCCAGCCUCCGCCCCUCCAGUUGUGGGUGGCCCCUCUUGCGGUUCGUCUGAGGCUAGGGGACUAGGCGCAUCGCCUAGCGAGACUCCAGUGGCCUUUUCUGUCCAGUUUGUAACCGGAACUAGACCGACCCCGGCCGCCCCCUCCAGUGCUGGGGCGGGUGAGGAAUGGCCCCGCCGGGGAGGCGGGGGAGGGAGGCCUGGGCCACCCUGGGGUCUGACCUUUGCUCCACCUCUUAGGUGCUCACGACCCAGAGUGGUGCCCUGCUUGGUACUGCCACUGGAUCCUCUGGCUUAUGAAGCCGUCCAGGACAGGAAGGGUGGGGGGUGGUCCUUAGUUCUCUUCGUGGGGUCAUGCAGAGUGGUUUCCUCGAGGUCCCACGCCCGUCUCAGGAAGCCAGAAACGCAAGAUGCCGGGCGCUCGGCCCGAACCCGUGCCGCGGCCCAAGGGGCAAGGCGGAUACCGAGGCAAGGCCUAAAGGGCCGGACUCUGACCGCACCCUCCGGACACUGCAGGGCUCCGCCGGCCAGAGGCGGCCUUGGCGCCAACCACACCUAGCAGCGGGGUCCCCGGGCCCACCGAUGCGCCCUCCUAGCCCCGCGCUCCUUCGAGGGGUUCCAAGGUGACUCAGAGACGCAGCUGACACAAUUCUGAGGCCCCCAGGUAAGCCUGGCGAUACCGGAUGGAGAAGUUACCUGGUCUUGAAAGGCCCAGUCCAGCCAGCGAGACCCGCGUGCGCUCCGCGGGGAGGCAAGCCUAACCAGGGGCUCACCUGGAAGCGUCCCCGCCCCCUGGUCCUUAUCUCUGAAUCGAAACCGAACCUGGACCCAUCUAGAUAAUUGGACUGAGCAAUUAAGGACGCUUCGCUCCUAACUGUUAGCAUUUUUUCCUAAGGCUCUCGGAGGCGGAAUCAGCUGGAAAGGAACAUUGCUAAGUAGGAAUUUCAGGCACCUGUGAACUGAGCCCACUCAAUAAUCGGCCCUUUCCCUUAACCAAACUCAGCAAAGGAAGAAAGACCAAGUUGCUGCGGAUGCACAGAGCCACGUGGGUGCGGGUCCUCUAGAAACAGGAAUUCAGAGUCAGUAGAUAUGGAAAUGUUAUGGUUUGCAGUCUUCGGACCAUGCUGCUUUCAUGCUGUUCACAUGAUUCUCCUCGGACUGCGAGGAUGGAAUUACUUCAGUAUAUUUAAAUGCAAAUAAGGAGGAUCCCACAGAGAAGAGGAAGAUGAAGGUACAGUAGAGAAAGGACAAUGGAGCACAAAGGCUCCUGUGCCCAUGGGAGGGAUGGACCAGAGUGUGGGUGGAAAGGCUGAUCUGAGGCAGGGGCCACCUUCUGUAUUAUAACAGGAGGAAGGAGGCUGGAGGAGGACUGAGCCAGGCUGCCAUCACAGAGAUAGUUGAAUCUUUCCACCUGAUGAUUUCCUCUUAACUCUGUGACAUAAAGGAGGCUAGCAAUAGGGCAAGGAGAGAUGACAGAUUUGAAGAGAGUGGAGAAGGUAUGACAGUCACUGCAGGAGUUUGGGAGGGUCGUGAUGACCAGAGAAACAGCCAGAUAGCAAGGCAGCAUGGCAGUCCACUUGAGGCUGGUGCCUGUGAACUUUUAAGGUGCGCUUUGGCCCUCCUGUGUGGUUUCUUCCAACAGCUCAGCUGCCCACUGUGGUGCCAGCUCAAAUGAGGAAAUUACCAGGGCAGAGGAGCAAAGGAAUUGAGAGCUUUGGCAAAGGUGAGGUGGCACGGUGAAUGAUCAGAGAGAAAGGACAGGAGCCAAAGGACUGGAAAAGUCAAGGAGUCAAGACCAAGUCACACCAGAAGGAGAGGAAUUGGGUCAGAGAUCUGGAUCUGAAGUAAGGAGUUCAGGAGGUGGAGAAGUUUAGGGCCAUGACAAUGCCAGGACAUGAUGGGGAGGCAUAGAGGAGAAAGUCAUUGGAGAAUAUGAGGUCAAGAGAUUAAGAGGGCACUGGAUAGGUCCUCUGUGUGAACAGGAAAGCCAUCCAGGAUGUGAGGAGGAAUGGCAGUUAUGGUGUGAAGGCCAUGGAGCCAGGAGCUAAAGUUUUAAGAGAGUGGGCAAGAGGGAAUGACCAGGAGAGCAGAAGAUAAAAAGCACCAGGCAAGGGACAGGCACUAUGGCUGGGCAACAGUCUCCCCAAAGGAACAACAGCAUUUAUGGGACGUGGAGGAGAAGUGAUCAGGUAGGGGAACAAUUAGUCAGGGUUGGGAAAGUCUGGGAGGCUUCCUGGAGAAGGUGGAGUGGAAGGCAUCCAGACUGCUCAUUUAUCCUGAGAACAUUUGUGAAUGUGCCCAUUUCUUUGUGGCUGUGAAGACUGUUGAUCUGACAGUCUGAAGAGGGUCUAUAAAAAGUUUCUAGGUCAUAGAUUUCUCCCUUGGCACUCCUGCUUCCCAGCGUGUUGUCACUCCUGUAGCCCUGCCACCUCUCAGUCACACUCAUGUGCUCCUCCGAGGUGGACAGGCAGCCCAGACUACACAGUGAAUCCUGUGUGCUUUGCCCUGGGCCUCUCAUGUCUGGCUUUUCCAUGUCACUCCUUCUUCUUUUCUUUUUUUCUUUCUUUCAUUCUUUCUUUUUCUCUUUCUCUCUCUCUCUCUUUCUUCUUCUUUUUUUUUUUUUCCCCAGGCUGGAGUACAGUGGUACAAUCUCAACUCACUACAACCUCUGCCUCCCAGGGUUAAGUGAUCCUCCCACCUCAGCCUCCCAAGUAGCUGGGAUUACAAGCAUGCACCACCACGCCCAGCUAAUUUUUGUAUUUUUAGUAGAGAUGGCAUUUCACCUUGAUGGCCACACUGGUCUCGAAAUCCUGAUCUCAAGUGAUCCACCUGCCUUGGCCUCCCAAAGUGCUGGGAUUACAGGCACGAGCCACAGCAUCCGGCCUUGUCACCCAUUUUUCUGGUGAGGAAACGGGCUGAUCUUCAGCAAGUUUCCUGUGUCCCCUUUGGUGCCAGCAUCCACCUGGUAUUUUUGCCCAGCCAGACUGCAAGCUUUUGAGCAAGCAGACCUGAAUGCCCCUCCUUCUCAGCCUUCAAGGUCUGCGGUUUGCCUCACUUCACCUGGCCAGCCUAGGACACCUUCAUGCCCACAGAGCCACAGCCCUGGUCUACACCCACCUCCUUUGUUCUUUACUGCCUCUGCCUCACUAACCAGGAGCACCCCAACAACCUGCCAUUCAGGUACAGACCCCAUGGAGAUGCCACCCUGGAACUCAAACAUCUAUAAGCCCAGAGCUGGCUUCCACCUUCUUGGUUCUGUUGGAACCAACUCCUGCAGCCCUUUGGACAUGGUUCAGAAUGAAAGCCUUCUUCCUCGGUGGCAAACCCCAUGGCCAGAUGGGUGCCUGAGCCCUGUAUCUCCCUCCUCCUUUCAGCACAGAUCUAGAAAAGUUCCCAGCCUGUCUAAGGGCCAGGCACACACAGAUAGCAUCAGCAGCAGAAAUCCCCAAACUUUGUAUAUCCUCCAACUUAGGUUGUCACAGAAGGAUGGCAAUGUUUCCUAGUCUGUUAAUCAGUCCCAAGUGGAAUUAUGAAAACAACAACCACCUCUCUCAAUGGCUAAAAUAUUAAUUAUUGAUGGAAAGUGUGGAAGCUUGGCACUGGAAUUCUUAGAAUUCUACUCCAAUCCCUUGGAACUGGCAAAUGAGGCCCCAAAAGUAGCUUUCUGGAAGCCAAAUACCUAAUACCAGAGAUAAUAUCUUGAACGUUGGACAAUUAAAUCACAGGUUAAAAAUCACCUGGCUCUUAAAGCAGGUCCUUUGCUCCGAAGGUUACUAUGACUUUGGACUUUGUAACAGUUGAAAAACAGCCUCAUUAUCAGAUGCAGAUAUAGAAACAAAUGUAAUGAUUCCCAGGGGACUUGCUCCAUAUUCCAGAGUCCUGAUGCUGAAAGAACUUAAAAUUCCCAGGUUAGUAAAGUCCAGCGUGUAUAGGACAUUGUGGUGGUACCUAUGGUCAACAAUUUGGAGGGGCAUGAACAGCUGUCUCUAUUACGGUCAUCAUAUUGUUUUGGGAAUAGAAUUCUCAGUAAGGAGAAAUGCAAAAUCAUAGUCUUAAUUAUCAUCAAACUGAAAAAUUAUAUUCAAGACGAGAGGCCCAUAAUGGCAGCAUCAAGCAUGAGACAGUGCCAUUAAUAUGAUUAUCAGGACAUAAGCCUAUUAGAGAACUUAAUGCCUUUUUGCUGGCAUCGCCCUUUGUUAUGCUUCUCAGGGUUUAGAAACCAUCUCAGUUGUAAACAUAACUGUUACAAAACAGUGAUUUCCAGGGGGCAUAACAAAGAUCUGCCCACCUUUACCAAAGAUCAAAGCUGCCUGGCUAUGGAGAAAGAGAAUAUUUUUAGAAAAUGAAGACCAAUCUCCCAACUCUAGGUGGCUCUUAUUGAGAAAGGAAGAAAGGGAGUGUAUCUCGCUCCAAGUCUUGCUUUGUGGCAAUCCAGUUGUGGACAUGAUUGUGAGGUUUAACCACCACAUGGAGAUAUGCAUGCAACAACUCAGAUGGAUACAGUGGCCUAGGUCUUGGCUGCUGCUAGUGAAAAACCAUGGUAUGGAAAUCCCCAAUUCCAGGUUCAACUCCCACCUUGGGAAGAAGCCAAGUGUGGUCCACAUGGGAACAGUAACAUCUAAAGAGUUCUCAGGAAGAGGAAAUUAGGUCAUUUAUGGCCAAGUACCUGCAAACAUUUGGGGCUUAAUAAAUGUUUGUUUCCCUCCUCAGUCUUGGCCAUGGAACCAAGUCCCCAUCAGGAUAAAGUAUGAGUGGUAUCUUGGCAUAGAAUGCUUCGCAUUCUCAACAUUUGUCCUGGGCCCUCCACUGGAGGAACUGCCAUUCUGUCCUCAUUCCAAAGGGUUCUGACGCCAUCAUCAUCAAUAUAAUCAUGUAGAAUGGAAAAAUCAAUUGGCUGUCCCUGGAAGGAGCCACCUGCUUGAUCUUUAGGAUCCAGUGACUUACGAAACUCACUUGGCAAAAUCGUCUUACAGCAAAACCAUUGCCAGGAAGGGCAGGGCCUCCUCCUCAAACACGACAGUCGGCAGUCAGGGAAAUCAGAGAGCAACAGAUCCCAUAAAUAGUCUGAAAGGGAAGCAGGAUCCAUGCGACAGCACAGAUGAAUCUUCCAACAUUACGCUGAGAGAAAGAAGUCAUACGCAAGUACAAGUGAAGUUUAAGAACAGGCAAGAACUUAUCUAUGGUGGCAGAAAUCAGAACUCGAGUUGCUUCUGGGAUAAAGAGAGAAUUAACUGGAAAAAAAAGCAUGAGGGAAUUUUCUG